Molecule: long non-coding RNA, 151 nt
Organism: Corvus hawaiiensis (hawaiian crow)
Lineage: Eukaryota; Metazoa; Chordata; Aves; Passeriformes; Corvidae
Exons: 3
Source: RefSeq, a predicted model, not a curated record
GCGGCGGUGUGCCAAGCGUGUACCUUUUCACUUUGCGGGUAUCGUCCAGGCCACCUCCAGAGUCGGAUGAAGAUUUGAGGUACCAUGAGCCGGUGUGGAGCCGAAGUUUGGAAACGGCUGCCUCCAAAGCGGCCUACAGGGAAUGUACUGA